AUGUGGAGCUACCAUUUGUUUUGGGGGCACCACUUGCGAAAAGAGAUAAAGGAAGACGAAGGAAAUGGAGGAUCAAAGGAUGUCUUGAAGGUGGCCAGAAGAAAAAAGGUGCCAAUGAUGCUCCCAAGGAUGAUAGCACCGCUCCCACCAAUUCUAAGGGGGAAAAUGAUUAGAGGGCCAGUGACUUGCAAGAAAUGUGGCAAAAAGGGUCAUAGGCAAGCUAGUUACAAGUGUCCACUCAAUGGAACCAAAAAAAGGCAAACGAAGCCUAUAAAGAACAGUACAAAAGCUAGGCCAGCUGAACCUAGCACCCCACAAAGACCUACUAGAGAACAAAUAUUGCUGGACAGUCCAAGCAUGGUCGCUAGAAGGGAAAACAAAUGA
RNAcentral lists this ribosomal RNA (384 nucleotides) under Triticum aestivum (bread wheat). Its description in RNAcentral is "partial small subunit ribosomal RNA". Lineage: Eukaryota; Viridiplantae; Streptophyta; Magnoliopsida; Poales; Poaceae. The record is from RNAcentral.